This 478-nucleotide ribosomal RNA is filed under the name uncultured bacterium. Its description in RNAcentral is "partial 16S ribosomal RNA". It matches the Rfam family "Bacterial small subunit ribosomal RNA", at positions 28 to 523 of the family's 1533-position model. The record is from RNAcentral.
GACGAACGCUGGCGGCGUGCUUAACACAUGCAAGUCGAGCGAUGAAGUUCCUUCGGGAACGGAUUAGCGGCGGACGGGUGAGUAACACGUGGGUAACCUGCCUCAUAGAGGGGAAUAGCCUUUCGAAAGGAAGAUUAAUACCGCAUAAGAUUGUAGUUUCGCAUGAAACAGCAAUUAAAGGAGUAAUCCGCUAUGAGAUGGACCCGCGUCGCAUUAGCUAGUUGGUGAGGUAGCGGCUCACCAAGGCGACGAUGCGUAGCCGACCUGAGAGGGUGAUCGGCCACAUUGGGACUGAGACAAGGCCCAGACUCCUACGGGGGGCAGCAGUGGGGAAUAGUGCACAAUGGGGGAAACCCUGAUGCAGCAACGCCGCGUGAGUGAUGACGGUCUUCGGAUUGUAAAACUCUGUCUUCAGGGACGAUAAUGACGGUACCUGAGGAGGAAGCCACGGCUAACUACGUGCCAGCCGCCGCGGUAA